Molecule: ribosomal RNA, 440 nt
Filed under: uncultured bacterium
Lineage: Bacteria
Description: partial 16S ribosomal RNA
Rfam family: Bacterial small subunit ribosomal RNA
Source: RNAcentral
CCUACGGGUGGCAGCAGUGGGGAAUAUUGCACAAUGGGGGAAACCCUGAUGCAGCAACGCCGCGUGAGUGAAGAAGUCAUUCGUGAUGUAAAGCUCUAUCAGCAGGGAAGAAAAUGACGGUACCUGACUAAGAAGCCCCGGCUAACUACGUGCCAGCAGCCGCGGUAAUACGUAGGGGGCAAGCGUUAUCCGGAUUUACUGGGUGGAAAGGGAGCGUAGGCGGCGACGCAAGUCUGAAGUGAAAGUCCAGGGCUAAACACUGGAACUGCUUUGGAAACUGUGUAGCUAGAGUGCAGGAGAGGUAAGUGGAAUGCCUAGUGUAGCGAUGAAAUGCGUAGAUAUUAGGAGGAACACCAGUGGCGAAGGCGGCUUACUGGACUGUAACUGACGGUGAGGCUCGAAGGUGUGGGGAGCAAACAGGAUUAGAUACCCGGGUAGUC